This 484-nucleotide ribosomal RNA is filed under the name uncultured bacterium. Its description in RNAcentral is "partial 16S ribosomal RNA". It matches the Rfam family "Bacterial small subunit ribosomal RNA", at positions 28 to 507 of the family's 1533-position model. The record is from RNAcentral.
AUUGAACGCUGGCGGCAUGCUUUACACAUGCAAGUCGAACGGCAGCGCGGGCUUCGGCCUGGCGGCGAGUGGCGAACGGGUGAGUAAUGCAUCGGAACGUGCCCAGUAGCGGGGGAUAGCCCGGCGAAAGCCGGAUUAAUACCGCAUACGACCUGAGGGUGAAAGCGGGGGACCGAAAGGCCUCGCGCUAUUGGAGCGGCCGAUGUCGGAUUAGCUAGUUGGUGGGGUAAAGGCUUACCAAGGCGACGAUCCGUAGCUGGUCUGAGAGGACGACCAGCCACACUGGGACUGAGACACGGCCCAGACUCCUACGGGAGGCAGCAGUGGGGAAUUUUGGACAAUGGGGGCAAGCCUGAUCCAGCCAUGCCGCGUGCGGGAAGAAGGCCUUCGGGUUGUAAACCGCUUUUGUUCGGGAAGAAAUCCUCUGGGCUAAUACCCCGGGGGGAUGACGGUACCGGAAGAAUAAGCACCGGCUAACUACGUG